Molecule: long non-coding RNA, 261 nt
Filed under: Elaeis guineensis (African oil palm)
Lineage: Eukaryota; Viridiplantae; Streptophyta; Magnoliopsida; Arecales; Arecaceae
Description: long non-coding RNA (EGUI_LNC050344)
Source: RNAcentral
CACCUGAGGGUCGACACCUUUCUUCUGUCUGGGAGUUUAGCCACUCAGCCACUCCAUCGGUGCUCUUUUCAACUCCGAACGUCCUUUGCACCAAUCUUCGCCAUCCCCGCCGGCUCUCCGCCGUCUUCAGUCCCCCUAGCCUCCCCAAGGAGUUCUCCCGCCGGGGCCCCCGCUCCGGAGGCCAACCUCGAGAGGAUGCCACGGACCAAGAGGAGUGUGGGGAGAAAACAAGUGGCCUGCGAGUUCUCUGUAGGAACCAGA